UUACCGUAGGUGAACCUGCGGAAGGAUCAUUAAUGUGUUUGGGCCUCACGGCUCUUCAUUCCGACGCUGUGCGCCUUCGGGCUGCACGCUGAGGGAGCAUAUAUCCACCCCUGUGCACACACACGGUGGCGAGCAGGGUAACGGCUCGCCGCUGAUCUUUACACACGUCUAAAAGUCAUUGUAUGUUUAUUUGAGAUAAAAACACAACUUUCAGCAACGGAUCUCUUGGCUCUC
RNAcentral lists this unclassified non-coding RNA (234 nucleotides) under plant metagenome. RNAcentral describes it as "partial contains small subunit ribosomal RNA, internal transcribed spacer 1, and 5.8S ribosomal RNA". The record is from RNAcentral.